AGGACGAACGCUGGCGGCGUGCUUAACACAUGCAAGUCACGGGGGCUUCGUAAGGAGCAACCGGCGAACGGGUGCGUAACACGUGAGCGACCUGCCAUACCUGUGGGGGAUAGCCGGCCCAACGGCCGGGUAAUACCGCAUACGAUCUUUCGGGCGCCUGCUUGGGAGACGAAAGCUGGGGGGUAACCUUUGGCGCAGGAUGAGGGGCUCGCGGCCUAUCAGCUAGUUGGCGGGGUAACGGCCCACCAAGGCGACGACGGGUAGCUGGUCUGAGAGGAUGGCCAGCCACAUUGGGACUGAGAGACGGCCCAGACUCCUACGGGAGGCAGCAGUGGGGAAUCUUGCGCAAUGGCCGGAAGGCUGACGCAGCGACGCCGCGUGUGGGAGGACGCCCUUCGGGGUGUAACCACUGUUGCCCGGGACGAAAUCUCCGUUUGGGGAGACUGACGGUACCGGGUGAGGAGCGACCGGCUAACUCCGUGCCAGCAGCCGC
This 493-nucleotide ribosomal RNA is filed under the name uncultured bacterium. Its description in RNAcentral is "SSU rRNA". It matches the Rfam family "Bacterial small subunit ribosomal RNA", at positions 26 to 518 of the family's 1533-position model. The record is from RNAcentral.